UAGGGAAUCUUCCACAAUGGACGCAAGUCUGAUGGAGCAACGCCGCGUGAGUGAAGAAGGCUUUCGGGUCGUAAAACUCUGUUGUUGGAGAAGAAUGGUCGGCAGAGUAACUGUUGUCGGCGUGACGGUAUCCAACCAGAAAGCCACGGCUAACUACGUGCCAGCAGCCGCGGUAAUACGUAGGUGGCAAGCGUUAUCCGGAUUUAUUGGGCGUAAAGCGAGCGCAGGCGGUUUUUUAAGUCUGAUGUGAAAGCCCUCGGCUUAACCGAGGAAGUGCAUCGGAAACUGGGAAACUUGAGUGCAGAAAAGGACAGUGGAACUCCAUGUGUAGCGGUGAAAUGCGUAGAUAUAUGGAAGAACACCAGUGGCGAAGGCGGCUGUCUGGUCUGUAACUGACGCUGAGGCUCGAAAGCAUGGGUAGCGAACA
Molecule: ribosomal RNA, 427 nt
Filed under: uncultured prokaryote
Description: bacterial SSU rRNA
Rfam family: Bacterial small subunit ribosomal RNA
Source: RNAcentral